GGGUUAUCGUUCUGGAAACACUUGAUUUUGAAAGUCAAUAACAAAGGUUCAAUUCCUUUAUAACCCU
This 67-nucleotide transfer RNA is filed under the name Riftia pachyptila (tube worm). RNAcentral's name for it is "tRNA-Ser". It matches the Rfam family "tRNA". Rfam says of the family: Transfer RNA (tRNA) molecules are approximately 80 nucleotides in length. Their secondary structure includes four short double-helical elements and three loops (D, anti-codon, and T loops). Lineage: Eukaryota; Metazoa; Annelida; Polychaeta; Sabellida; Siboglinidae. The record is from RNAcentral.